AACGAACGCUGGCGGCAUGCCUAACACAUGCAAGUCGAACGAGACCUUCGGGUCUAGUGGCGCACGGGUGCGUAACGCGUGGGAAUCUGCCCUUCGGUUCGGAAUAACUCAGGGAAACUUGAGCUAAUACCGGAUGAUGUCUUCGGACCAAAGAUUUAUCGCCGAGGGAUGAGCCCGCGUGAGAUUAGGUAGUUGGUGGGGUAAUGGCCCACCAAGCCGACGAUCCUUAGCUGGUCUGAGAGGAUGAUCAGCCACACUGGGACUGAGACACGGACCAGACUCCUGCGGGAGGCAGCAGUGGGGAAUAUUGGAGAAUGGGCGAAAGCCUGAUCCAGCAAUGCCGCGUGAGUGAUGAAGGCCUUAGGGUUGUAAAGCUCUUUUACCAGGGAUGAUAAUGACAGUACCUGGAGAAUAAGCUCCGGCUAACUCCGUGCCAGCAGCCGCAGUAA
RNAcentral lists this ribosomal RNA (449 nucleotides) under uncultured bacterium. RNAcentral's name for it is "partial 16S ribosomal RNA". It matches the Rfam family "Bacterial small subunit ribosomal RNA", at positions 29 to 523 of the family's 1533-position model. The record is from RNAcentral.